UACGUAGGGUCCGAGCGUUGUCCGGAAUUAUUGGGCGUAAAGAGCUCGUAGGCGGCUUGUCGCGUCUGUCGUGAAAGCUCAGGGCUUAACUCUGAGUUUGCGGUGGAUACGGGCAGGCUUGAGGCAAGUAGGGGAACGGAAUCCAUGUGUAGCGGUGAAUAGCGCAGAUAUGUGGAGGAACACCGGUGGCGAAGGCGGUUCUCUGGCGUUGUUCUGACGCUGAUGAGCGAAAGCGUGGGGAGGCGAACAGGAUUAGAUACG
RNAcentral lists this ribosomal RNA (261 nucleotides) under uncultured prokaryote. Its description in RNAcentral is "partial 16S ribosomal RNA". It matches the Rfam family "Bacterial small subunit ribosomal RNA", at positions 524 to 786 of the family's 1533-position model. The record is from RNAcentral.